Carassius auratus (goldfish) is the source of this 1260-nucleotide long non-coding RNA. RefSeq lists it as uncharacterized. The transcript is spliced from 2 exons. The record is from RefSeq and is a predicted model, not a curated record. NCBI's taxonomy places the organism in Eukaryota, Metazoa, Chordata, Actinopteri, Cypriniformes, Cyprinidae.
AGAGCUUCUGUGGUAAAGAAAAAUAUAAAAAUUGUUUAGGAACUGUAAUAUAAUUUAAAAAAAAUUCCUCUCUGCCUUUGUAAUAUACAGUAUGCUGGAAGACUUUCUUGACAUCAUACAGAACGGGUUCAGAAUACAACAGAAGCAGGAAACAUCAAAAAUCACUGUUAACCGUAGAGCAUCGGUUUACAAUUCUUGCAAAAAUCAAGUUAUGAUUUAUGUGUAUGUUGUUAUAAAAACAAUCAAACAGACAUAAAUGUAAUCUGUUAAAUUCAGUCUAUUUUGCAUUCAAACAUUGCUUUAAAUAAAGAGACAGGUGAUUUGAGCAGAGCUCGUUUUCUGCCUCCACUAUUUGGAAAGUCUAAUACGAAAAUACUUAUAUAUAUAUAUAUAUAUAUAUAUACUAUUUUAUAUUAAACAAAAAAACUGCUGCAAUGAAAAUCUCCUUUUGAUUUAUUGUGCCUUAAUUUACUAUUAAUUUCAUUCAUAAUUAUUCACUUACUGAACGCUAUUAUAAAAGUAUAUACGUUUGUUUAUGUUAAAUAAAAGAUAAACAUGAGAAAAGAGUCGUAUCUUCCCUUAAAAUGCAUCUUGAACAAUCGGGUCCCAAGGUCCCACCUAGCGAGGACCCCUAAGAUGGCGGCCAUCGCGAUGCCUGUGCGCAAGUCGGAACUUGUCACGAAGGACACAAGACAGAAGCCCUGUCCCGAGACGCUCUUGAGUUACGUUGAGACUGAUGAUUCCCCAAUCUUCCACAAUGGACUUCACAUAGGAUGAACUGUUUCUAGUUUCAGCAAAAAAGCAAGAAUUUAUGAAUGGAUGACUGCACCUUAGCACUCUUCACUCCCACUGCAUGCCUCACCUGGGCCACAGAGAAAACAAUGUUGCUCCCUGUACAUGGCACAUUUAACCUCUAACCUUACAGCUGAAUCAAUGCAGUAACACUGUUAACUACCAAUGAUAUUGUACCUAAUGUUCAGACUGAAUAUACAGAGGAGAACUGGUCCCCAGUGUUUUUGGUUAGUCUGGUUUCUCCAAAGGUUUUUUUUACUCCAGUAUCGACAUCUUACAGUUUUUUCUUAAUUAACCACCAUUGCCUUUGGCUUGCUUGCUGUAUGUAUGACGACUAAUGCAUUUAACACCAACUAUUAAAACAGUGAGGGUGUUUUUGACCACAUAGACACAACAGUAUGUCUUUCUGUAAAGAUUCUUUGAAAAUGUUAUGCAUUUUGAAAAAUGUAUAAAUGUCUUACAUUGAUA